Molecule: long non-coding RNA, 455 nt
Organism: Ictalurus punctatus (channel catfish)
Lineage: Eukaryota; Metazoa; Chordata; Actinopteri; Siluriformes; Ictaluridae
Source: Ensembl
GGGAUCAGAUCGUUCCUCACUCCGUAACAUUAGAGGAGAAAUUAUUAAACUGUUCUGGGAUCAGCCUGUUCCUCACUCCGUAAUCUGUAAUAUUAGAGGAGAAACUAUAAAACUGUUCUGGGAUCAGCUCGUUCCUCACUCUGUAGUCUGUAACAUUAGAGGAGAAACUAUAAAACUGUUCUGGGAUCAGCCUGUUCCUCACACUGUAACAUUAGAGGAGAAACUAUAAAACUGUUCUGGAAUCAGCCCGUUCCUCACACUGUAAUCUGUAAUAUUAGAGGAGAAACUAUAAAACUGUUCUGGGAUCAGCCCGUUCCUCGCUCUGUAGUCUGUAACAUUAGAGGAGAAUCUAUAAUAUUGUUCUGGGAUCAGUUCGUUCGUCACACCGUAAUAUGUAAUAUUAGAGGAGAAACUAUAAAACUGUUCUGGGAUCAGCCCGUUCCUCACUCUGUAAC